RNAcentral lists this long non-coding RNA (521 nucleotides) under Sorghum bicolor (sorghum). Its description in RNAcentral is "long non-coding RNA (SBIC_LNC000283)". Lineage: Eukaryota; Viridiplantae; Streptophyta; Magnoliopsida; Poales; Poaceae. The record is from RNAcentral.
CGUUGUUUAAUCUUAUUAUCAUUAUUGUCUAAGACUAUGUGAUUUAUUAUCGUUCCGCUAUGUAAUAAACACUGCAAUGGUACAUUUGAGAUUUGUCUACUUAUGUGUGCGACUGUUUCUGGGGCACAUAUGAGUCUUUUAUGCAUCCUAUUUUGUUCUUAAAAUAUGGGAGGAACACAAUUGACACAAAACAAAUAUACUAUUACCAUAUUUUUUUUUUACUUUCUUUUACUUUUUCGCAUCUAGAUCAGUAGUUAUGCUUUGUUAAUUUUCUGUAAACAAGCCGAGAGCUUUUGCUUGUAAAGCAACCGGUUCAAUUCUUCACCGUAAUUGAAUAAAUUAUCUUUUUACUAGUUUGCUCGAAAAUUAGUCAUGUUUGCUUAUAUGAAAGUGAAGCAAUCCAGUCAUUGGUGACUUCUAUGUUGAUUUUCGGCAUCAAGCAAUUUGAUGACUUCAUUAGGGAAGGAUUGAUUCCACUACUAAAUUUGGACCCUUUUUCAACGCCCCAAAUAUGUUGCAAU